CCUACGGACUGCAGCAGUGGGGAAUAUUGGACAAUGGGCGAAAGCCUGAUCCAGCCAUGCCGCGUGUGUGAAGAAGGCCUUCGGGUUGUAAAGCACUUUCAGUGGGGAAGAAAGCCUUGGGGCUAAUACCCUCGAGGAAGGACAUCACCCACAGAAGAAGCACCGGCUAACUCCGUGCCAGCAGCCGCGGUAAUACGGAGGGUGCGAGCGUUAAUCGGAAUUACUGGGCGUAAAGCGCGCGUAGGCGGUCUGAUAAGCCGGUUGUGAAAGCCCCGGGCUCAACCUGGGAACGGCAUCCGGAACUGUCAGGCUAGAGUGCAGGAGAGGAAGGUAGAAUUCCCGGUGUAGCGGUGAAAUGCGUAGAGAUCGGGAGGAAUACCAGUGGCGAAGGCGGCCUUCUGGACUGACACUGACGCUGAGGUGCGAAAGCGUGGGUAGCAAACAGGAUUAGAUACCCUUGUAGGUC
RNAcentral lists this ribosomal RNA (466 nucleotides) under Vreelandella stevensii. RNAcentral describes it as "partial 16S ribosomal RNA". It matches the Rfam family "Bacterial small subunit ribosomal RNA", at positions 338 to 795 of the family's 1533-position model. The record is from RNAcentral. Lineage: Bacteria; Pseudomonadati; Pseudomonadota; Gammaproteobacteria; Oceanospirillales; Halomonadaceae.